GAUGAACGCUGGCGGCGUGCCUAAUACAUGCAAGUCGAACGAAACUUCGUUAUCACCGAUUCCUUGCACUCACCGAGAAAAAGGUGAGUGGCGAACGGAUGAGAAACACCUUGGCAACCGGGCCAAAACGGGGGAAUACCACUUAGAAACAGGUGCUAUUACCGCAUAACCAUAGUUACUUCAUGGUAACUAGGUAAAAGGUGGUUAUCCUACCGCUGUUUAAUGAGUUCGCGGCGCAUUAGCUAGUUGGUAGGGUAAAGGCUUACCAAGGCAAUGAUGCGAAGAGGAACUGAGAGGUGGAUCCGCCACAUCGGGACUGAAACACGGCCCAAACUCCUCCGCGAGGAAGCAGUAGGGUAUCUUACACAAUGCGCGAGAGCCUGAUGGAGCCAAGCCGCGUGGGUGAGGAAGGUCUUCGGAUCGUAAAACCCUGUUGUUAGUGAAGAAGGCGCGUCCGGGUAACUGUUCAGGUUUUGACGGUACCCAACCAGAAAGCAACGGCUAACUACGUG
RNAcentral lists this ribosomal RNA (512 nucleotides) under uncultured bacterium. Its description in RNAcentral is "partial 16S ribosomal RNA". It matches the Rfam family "Bacterial small subunit ribosomal RNA", at positions 28 to 507 of the family's 1533-position model. The record is from RNAcentral.